This 502-nucleotide ribosomal RNA is filed under the name uncultured bacterium. RNAcentral's name for it is "partial 16S ribosomal RNA". It matches the Rfam family "Bacterial small subunit ribosomal RNA", at positions 355 to 872 of the family's 1533-position model. The record is from RNAcentral.
UGGGGAAUAUUGCACAAUGGGCGAAAGCCUGAUGCAGCAACGCCGCGUGAGUGAUGAAGGUCUUCGGAUUGUAAAGCUCUGUCUUUUGGGACGAUAAUGACGGUACCAAAGGAGGAAGCCACGGCUAACUACGUGCCAGCAGCCGCGGUAAUACGUAGGUGGCGAGCGUUGUCCGGAUUUACUGGGCGUAAAGGGUGCGUAGGCGGAUGUUUAAGUGAGAUGUGAAAUACCCGGGCUUAACUUGGGUGCUGCAUUUCAAACUGGAUAUCUAGAGUGCAGGAGAGGAGAAUGGAAUUCCUAGUGUAGCGGUGAAAUGCGUAGAGAUUAGGAAGAACACCAGUGGCGAAGGCGAUUCUCUGGACUGUAACUGACGCUGAGGCACGAAAGCGUGGGUAGCAAACAGGAUUAGAUACCCUGGUAGUCCACGCCGUAAAACGAUGAGUACUAGGUGUAGGAGGUAUCGACCCCUUCUGUGCCGCAGUAAACACAUUAAGUANUCCGC